RNAcentral lists this ribosomal RNA (427 nucleotides) under uncultured bacterium. Its description in RNAcentral is "partial 16S ribosomal RNA". It matches the Rfam family "Bacterial small subunit ribosomal RNA", at positions 355 to 774 of the family's 1533-position model. The record is from RNAcentral.
UGGGGAAUAUUGGACAAUGGGCGAAAGACUGAUCCAGCCAUGCCGCGUGUGUGAAGAAGGUCUUCGGAUUGUAAAGCACUUUAAGUUGGGAGGAAGGGCAUUAACCUAAUACGUUAGUGUUUUGACGUUACCGACAGAAUAAGCACCGGCUAACUCUGUGCCAGCAGCCGCGGUAAUACAGAGGGUGCAAGCGUUAAUCGGAAUUACUGGGCGUAAAGCGCGCGUAGGUGGUUUGUUAAGUUGGAUGUGAAAUCCCCGGGCUCAACCUGGGAACUGCAUUCAAAACUGACUGACUAGAGUAUGGUAGAGGGUGGUGGAAUUUCCUGUGUAGCGGUGAAAUGCGUAGAUAUAGGAAGGAACACCAGUGGCGAAGGCGACCACCUGGACUAAUACUGACACUGAGGUGCGAAAGCGUGGUGAGCAAACA